UCCUCGUGCCGCACCCUUCGACCAAUCAAAUGGACGCCUCGGGUGCGUCCCCGCCCAGCGCGGCAAACUGUGUUGCGCGUCUUGAGAACCGCAUUGUGCUGCUAAAAUAAAGUAGUUUAGUUACUAGUUCAGUGUUAGUUACUCACUCUGGGUUGCUAGGUGAGCUAGUUGAAGAUUAUUUACGUGUAUAUCCGCAGUUUCGGAGCUUUAAAUUUGCAGUUAAUCAUCAGGAAAACAAAGAGCAAGAGUGAAAAGUGAACGCGGGGAUUUAAACUUUAGCUAACAGCAUUAGCAGCAGAUGCUAACAGGGCUAAGCUGUGAAACCAUGGGAGCAGUUUGGCAACCGCGACGUGUCCUGGUGGAAAUACCUGCACCACAGCCUAAAAGCACAGCUCGAGUGAGAAGAUCCUAUUUGGAGAUCCUGAGUGCUCGCAUCGCUCCAUCACCUUUAAGAACCAGUAACCAACCUGGCAACGCCAAGCGCAGCCAAUCACUAGACUUUCCCGUGGGCGGCGUGUUGAGGGCCCGUCUGGACGACCGACCCACUGCGCUCUCCACCCAGCAGCUGGUGCAGCUCUUCAGAUCCCUGGUCCUCGUUGAACUGAACAAAGAACCCAGAGCUGUGACAUCAGACAUGAAACAUCUGCAGGACGAGCUCCAGCUGAAGAAAACCAACGUGUUCAGAUCCAUCCCGUACUCACGCUUCUGCUCCAACAGAGACGCUCACUGCUACAGGAAGGCCUACCCCCACCUAGUGGCCUUUAAGGUGUCGUGUGAGGAGUGGGGUCGGGUUCUCCUCAGGAAGCGACAGUGGGAUCAGGUUCUGGAACAUUCUCUGAUGGCGUGGAGAUUGACCAGUGAGUUGCCGCGCUGGGACACGGAGAGUCACAACGUCCUCAGAGAGCAGUGCUACGGCGUCCUGACGUCACACAUCCUCACCGCGCUGCGGCAUCACCGACCCACGGACCAUAGGGGGAGAGAACUGCUCAUCAGGUUGAAAAAUGCUGAACUGCUGAGUCACUGCAUGGCUCCGUGUGUUCAGGAGCUGCAGAAAAUCCUCCAAAGUUCUUCAGACCAACAUGACGACGCUGCUCAUUGAGGACAAACGAUCCAGAAUAACAACAGUGUCGGGCUAGAGGGGGCGUGGUCAUAGAGCGUGUGACGACAGGAAACAGGAAGCGUGCGUCCCUGAUGUUCUGACUGAAGAAAGCCUCCCGUGGACUUUUAAAACAAAAAGUAUGAAAUUAAAGUUGCCGUUUGCGUUGCUUUCCAUGAAUGUGUGUGUGUGCUUGAGAGAGAAUAUGUGAAGCCUUUUAACACGUGUGUGUGUUUGUUUUGUAUGAUUGUCGUCGUUUGCACUGUCGUCGUCGUUUCUCCUGAAAACUUGAAUUUUUUUGAUCAAAUGGAC
Molecule: long non-coding RNA, 1408 nt
Filed under: Gouania willdenowi (blunt-snouted clingfish)
Lineage: Eukaryota; Metazoa; Chordata; Actinopteri; Blenniiformes; Gobiesocidae
Description: lncRNA (ENSGWIG00000001324.1)
Source: RNAcentral